GAUGAACGCUGGCGGCGUGCUUAACACAUGCAAGUCGAACGGAAAGGCCCUGCUUUUGGCGUCGGCUCGAGUGGCGAACGGGUGAGUAACACGUGAGUAAUCUGCCCUUGACUUUGUGAUAACUUCAGGAAACUGGGGCUAAUACCGGAUAGCAGCUCCUGCUGCAUGGUGGGGGUUGGAAAGUUUCGGCGGUUAGGGAUGGACUCGCGGCUUAUCAGCUUGUUGUUGGGGUAGUGGCUUACCAAGGCUUUGACGGGUAGCCGGCCUGAGCGGGUGACGGGCCACAUUGGGACGGAGAUGCGGCACAGACUAGUACGGGAGGGAAGGGAGGAGUAGAGUACACAAUGGGAGGAAGCCAACUCUGACACAGCCGCGUGGGGGGAAAGAGGAAGCGGGUUGGAAACCGAUUUCGCCUGUGACGAAGAGAGAGUGACGGUAAUGGGUAAAGAAGCACCGGCUAACUACGUG
Molecule: ribosomal RNA, 468 nt
Filed under: uncultured bacterium
Lineage: Bacteria
Description: partial 16S ribosomal RNA
Rfam family: Bacterial small subunit ribosomal RNA
Source: RNAcentral